Non-coding RNA from Chiloscyllium plagiosum (whitespotted bambooshark), 240 nucleotides. Lineage: Eukaryota; Metazoa; Chordata; Chondrichthyes; Orectolobiformes; Hemiscylliidae. The record is from RefSeq and is a predicted model, not a curated record.
GAUGACAAUCCACGUUGGAUCCAGAGCAGACACAGCGACUGGGGCACGCGUGGGUGCAAAAUCCAUGGAAAAGAAGGGACUGAAGCUGGACUCCAUCAAUUGGUCAGAUCCUGGUGUAACUUCCAGGGAUCUGUCUUCUCCUGAUUUGAUGUUUGCAAACAAAGGUUUCCAAUGAAUCUUUGAAGGACCUGCGUGAUUCCAAACCGCACGAUUAACCACACUGACCACAGCAUGAGGAAC